AAUGAACGCUGGCGGCGUGCGUAACACAUGCAAGUCGAACGAGAAAUUCCGGGCUUGCUCGGGAGAGUAAAGUGGCGAACGGGUGAGUAACGCGUGGGUAACCUGCCCCUGAAUCUGGAAUAACUUCGCGAAAGCGAGGCUAAUACCGGGUAUUGUCCCAGGGACUAUGGUCCUUGUGAUGAAAGAUGACCUCUUCACGAAAGUUGUCGUUCAGGGAGGGGCCCGCGUACCAUUAGCUAGUUGGUAGGGUAAUGGCCUACCAAGGCGAUGAUGGUUAGCUGGUCCGAGAGGAUGACCAGCCACACUGGCACUGAAACACGGGCCAGACUCCUACGGGAGGCAGCAGUGAGGAAUUUUGCGCAAUAGGGGAAACCCUGACGCAGCAACGCCGCGUGAGUGAAGAAGGCCCUCGGGUCGUAAAGCUCUGUCAAGUGGGAAAAAAGCUUACUGGUGAAUGGCCAGGAAGACUGAUGGUACCAUUGAAGGAAGCACCGGCUAACUCCGUGCCAGCCGCCGCCGUAA
This 522-nucleotide ribosomal RNA is filed under the name uncultured bacterium. RNAcentral describes it as "partial 16S ribosomal RNA". It matches the Rfam family "Bacterial small subunit ribosomal RNA", at positions 29 to 523 of the family's 1533-position model. The record is from RNAcentral.